Cricetulus griseus (Chinese hamster) is the source of this 4481-nucleotide non-coding RNA. NCBI's taxonomy places the organism in Eukaryota, Metazoa, Chordata, Mammalia, Rodentia, Cricetidae. The record is from RefSeq and is a predicted model, not a curated record.
GGCAGACACCGGACCCUCUGUGUUGGGUGGGGCCGAGAGGGCGCGGCGCUGCUCAGAGACCGGUGGGAACCACAGCGGGUUAGGGACUCCUGGAGGCAGCCGUGGGGCUGAAUAGCCAGCUCUAUCUGACAUUUAUUUGUGAGAGAGUUUCUUAGAGUUGGCGUGACCUCCUCUGGUAUCCUAUCCGGAGGGAGGCUGAAGUGUGGGUUCCAGCAGUGGCACUGAAUGGAUUUACCUUUUCCCCUGCCUUUUCCUCUAGUUACUAGAGUCUACCAGAAGCUUUUCUUUGCACCACUGUAUUGAGAGUGGGUACCUGAGAAAUCCCGCUGGAGGCUGACACAGAAUCACCAGAAUGCCAGCUAAAGAUGGAGGAAGGAACAAUUAUGACUGACAGUAGAGUUCAAGUGUUGAGAAGUGAUAUGAAGACACAUUCAGAGAAGACUGGAGAACUGAAGUUUCCUAACAGCAGCAGAAAUCUUGCAAAGGGGAAUGAAUGGGUUUUCUGAGGGCUUGCGCUGGGCACUUGAACCAACCCAAUUGUCCCUCAAGAAGGAAGACACACAAAAUGGGGAAGUACAAAACACAGCACAAAAGCAGAAUUCUCUUGGAGUAAGUACCUUCGUUACUGCUGGCAACUGCCUUGGGAUAAUUUCUUUAUGUGGCUUCUUUAUAUACAUGACAUGCGUGGAAGGCUUUAUAAGUGCCAUACAUCAUACCGUUUUAAGGGACUUAAUGCAUUGCUGUGUCUCCAGACUUUGAUGCCAGUGAUGGUUAAUCCUGGUUGUCACCUGGACCCAUCUGAGUGCUGCCAGGCACUCCUGAGAGGGAUUUUCCUGACCAGGUUAUCUGAAGCAGGAAGGCUGCCCUAAAUGAAACCCUGACUAAAACAGGACUAAAUUUCUGAUUUGCACUGUAAUAUACAAAGGUGUUCCUUUGUUCUUCAUGGUUGUUGGAGAUCAAGGACCACCCACCAGGUAAGCAUUUCUUCUGAAGAUGCUGUAGUACCAGUCUGAAAAAUGCAAAUCUGAGGAAUUUGGCAGAGGUCUAAAGUGAUGGCUGUAAAGGAAGAAAUUAAAAUAUGACAUCAAACAAAUGAACAAAUGAAUAAUCAGUGGCAGGAAAUUCAGAUAAUUUUCUAGACGACAAAGAGUGAUGGAGCCUGAAUAACAGAACCUGAAGACAGUUCUCAUGGUGAGAAAUAGAAGCAAAAAAGGAACAUGGAAGCAAUGAGGCAGUUGGGUAAAGAGAAAAAGAAAAAGAAAACCAGAAAUGUUAAAGAAUAAAGGGUGGAUGAGGGAAACUGGUACAGUAAGAUACACAACAAACAAGAACAGAGGGACCACUCAGGAACACAAGACAGGAUUGAUGACUCCCUACCAUCACUGAAAUGGAACACAUGACUGUGGUAGAGCUGGCGGGUUGUGUCUAGAGAUGAGAUAGUGGCUAGGAUUUGAAACAGGAAAGACUCAGUGGGAUGUUGGCCCGUUUAGUUGUACCUAAUCAAUUUUCAACUCAAAUACUCAUUUUCGUUUUUUAAAUUAGCAUUUAAGGAGGAGAAUAAGAGGUAGCUUGCUUGCCUGGAAGUAAAAGCAAUGCCCAGAAAGUCUAGGGACCAAAGUGUUAACUGGGGUUGUUGUGGGCCGAGAGGACUUACUGCAAUUCAAUUGUUGCGAAAGUCACGCAGAGGGCAGAGAACAGAAAUAGAGAUGGAUUGUACAGAGCCCAAGGCAAGUGCAAAAGCCCUUUUAAUUUCUGCUCUCUAUAGGUAGGCAUGGAGCUGCAGCACCUGCCAGAAGGAUCAGACAGAGUGGGGGACCAGUGAAUGAGCCAGCUGGAGAUGGGUCCAGCUGCUCUGCUUCAUCCCACACCAGAUUCUUAGGCAUAUGUUUCUUCUUUCCUGGGUCUCAGUUUUCUCACCAGAGAAAUGGGCUUAACUGUACACACUCCUUAGUGUCCCAGACAGUCUGACAUAUUAUAAAUACUUUGCCAUGGCGUGCCUAUGAACACAGGCAAAUUGUGGGGUGUAUUUUGAGUAGAAAGGUGGUAUAUUUGUUUUUGGAACCCUUCCAGUCUCCAUGGAGGAGUGUUUAUUUUUAAUUAGCCCUCUCUGGGCCCCAGAACACUGGAUUUUAUCUCUAGGAAGUACCACCUAUUCAAUAGAUACAAAUCAAUAGAUACAUAUGAAGAGUCUACUAUAUGCCAGGCACUGUGCUAGGCAUUUAGACUCAAAGAUGCCUUGAAUAACACAUUCAUCUCGUUGGAAUUCAUAGUCUAAAAAAGAAACAAUAGUUAAUAGAAAGUGGUGUCUUGGUGUAGAAGCCCUAACAGAGUGUGGUGGAAAGGUAGGGGAGGUGGAGAGGAGGGGCCUGAGGGAGAACCCCAGGGCCAUCUGCUCCAGGAUCAGUAAGAGAUGGUCUUCAGGAGAGGGUGGGAGAAGACAGCUGUGGCAGAGCCUGAGCUUGUUAAGACAUGUGGAGGUGCUUGCAAGUUAGGAAACAAAAAGAUAGCUACUGUGGGUGAAGCCUGAGUUAAGGACAGAAUGGGGAAAGAUAAAGGGUGACACAUUAUGGUUGCUGGAUGUCAAACCCAUUAGAGGAAUUUGGGACACAGGAAAGCAUUUGGGUUUGAACACAUGAUAGCUUUCCUUGGAUAAAUUGCACUUAGUCGUGAUGGCUUGUCCUUUCUCUAUAUUGUUAGAGUAGGCUUGCUAAUUUGGUAAUGGUUUUGUGGGUUUCUUUACUGUAACAUUAUGGUCUGUUUGGGUGGGGUAUUAAGAUAGUGCUGGCCCCGUGGAAUAAGUUGGAAAUGUCCUUCCCAGGUAUUAGUUUUAUGCUAUGGCUUGUUACAGAUUAACACAAAAUUAGCAGCUUCAAGCCAUGAAAACACAUUAGGUGUGGCAGCAUGUGUCUAUAGUCUGGCAGUGGUGAGCGGCCUAAAGGAGGACAGCUAGUUCUGGGCCAGCCUGGACUAUGCUCUAAGUUCAGCCCAGACUGUAGUGAGCUUGAGCUCUGACUGGAAUUAGUGAGACAUUUCCUCAAAAACUCAAACCCCGAACCACGGGCACCAGCACCACCAGGACCACCACCCCAGCAACACCACCACCUCCAGUACCACCAGCAACAUCAGGACCACCUCCAGAAACACCACCAGCAACAUGAGCACCAACAGGACCAACAGGACCACCUUCAGCAACAUCAGCACCAGCAUCACUAGCACCAACAGGACCACCUCUGGCCACAUCAGUACCAGCAUCAGCACCAGCACCCCCAGCAGCACUGUGACUUACACCAGUACAGUAAACAGUAAACUAAAACAGUAAAAAUGAAAAUGUGUUAUCUAAAGUUCUUGGGGGCCAGACUUCAAAGUGAUUUUUACUGAGUGAGAUAGUGGUGUUAGCAGUUCCCAUUAGUUUCUCCUGUCUCGGGCAGUUUUCUCACAGACAGGUGCUAAUCAGCACAGGUGGCCUCUGUAGCCUUCGGUUCCAUGUCUGCCGAUUUAUUUACUCAUCCUUGUGUGGAGCAUAUUCUUAAAAAGCUGUGUUUAUACUCAAUUUUGUAGUGACCGUUGUUCCCCUCUCAUUACUCUCUAAACAACUCAACAUGGCCAUGAUUCACACAGCAUUUGCGCUGUGAUGUGUAUAAGUAGCCUAAUGAAUGAAGUAAUGAACGAAGUCAUCAGAGUGUGUGUGUAGGCUGCACCCAUGUGAACUACGCCAUUUUACAUACUGGACUUAAGUGUCCUCAGAUGUUCGUGUUUGUGGGGUUUCCUGGAACCAAUUCACUGUGGAGACCAUGGAACAGCCAUAUUCAUUAACCUAUCCAAGAGAAGUCCUUUGUCCAUCUCCACAGAUCUCUCACUGAGAAGGUAAGUUCUGUUAGUCAGUAAUCUAUCACUAUAACAACAACAACAACAACAACAACAACAACAACAACAAACUUGAGAUAAACCACUUACAAUGAGGGGGGGGGUUCCCUUUCACUCAGGGUUUCAGUCCACUGCCUUUUGAUUCCAUCACUUUGGGCCUAGAGCAAGGCAGAUCAUGUUGGUGGGGAGAGUUAUUGAGUAAAGCCACUUAGCUCAUGGUGCCAGGAAGAGGAGAGAAAGGACACAAGAGGCUGAGGGAGGCCUCAAUGUCCCCUUCAUAAAUACAGGCCUUUGAGGAACAGUCUAGACACCAACUCUAUUUGUUCCCUCUGAUAGUUUGCUCAAUGAAAUCUAGCUGCCUUGGGCUUUCUAACCACACAAUUCCAUCUCUUCAGUUCAGGUAAAUCCCCUUUACCUGGAAAAUGUCCUUUUCUGUUGUGAGUUCAAUAAACUUUCCUGGGCUGGAUCUGAGACAUAUUUUACUUAGUGUCCACCUAUUUUGUUCCUUCUUUUUUUUUUAAUUAUAUAAUACCAGGGUAUUUUUUCAGUAGACUGCGUUUAGUUUUGUUGUUUCAUAAGGGGGCUGAUUUGGUUCAUCCUUAUGCCACCUUGUUGAA